This is a non-coding RNA of Gossypium hirsutum (cotton), 132 nucleotides long. The record is from Rfam. Lineage: Eukaryota; Viridiplantae; Streptophyta; Magnoliopsida; Malvales; Malvaceae.
UGUUAAAAAUUCCAUUAAUUUGUACUAUUAAAAACUGGCAUGGUUGACAGAACAAUCAAAUAAUGACAAAUUUACCUCAUUGUAAUGUAUAGGACAAACUUUUAACAGCAAAAAUGGAUGAAAUUUUUAACA